AUCGGUGGCGCGAUAAUGCCUCGCUGGAUCGGGCUUUCCUCGCCGAGGGCGAACGGCGCAGCUGCGAACCGAGCCAAACCCGCGCACCGAACCGCUUGCGCAAUUCCGCCGGACGGCCGACAACGACGCCCGCGGACGACGACGACGACGCGACGACGACGUCCCGACGGCCGCGUCCCGCCGCGUCGCUUCGCGCUGCUCUCCCAUGUCAUGUCAACUGUCUGUCCGCCACGCGUUUGACACCUAUCGCGCGCGUCACGCGUCCCGCGACCCCGACGCAACGCGUCACGACGCGACUACGACGCUUUCUUCUCCGGUCCCGCACCACUUUCGCCACCGUAACCCGAGAGCCCCGUCCGCCCUCUUAUUCCUUCGACGACCUCCCUACUCGCUCAACCACCCGGCCACCCUCCCACCUCCCACCGCCCUCUAGGCCUCCUCCUCUUCCCCUGAUCCCUGCAUCACCCCCCCCCCCGCGCGUACAGCUUUUUCGCGGAUCCUACAGUACGAGUUCGGUCGACGACGCGUUUUCGCCACGAUUUUGACGCUCCCGCCGGUCAUCCCCGUGCGACGCGGCGCCUAUCGCACGAGCGGGAAAGAUGGAGGAUCAUCCAUGGUGCUACGAUCAAGACAACAGAGGUCAAAGAUUGGUGGAGAAGCCUUUCCGGCACGCAGAGUACUACUCGUAAGGAGAGGACUUCUUCGCUGCGCUCUGUUCCAACGCCAUUUUGUAAAAAAGAAUUAAAUUAAAAGCCAAAUAAUUAAACUAAAUAAUUAAAUAAAAUACUUACAUAAAAAAUUGUAACUAUUCCUCGAAAUACGUAUAAUAAAGAUCUUUAAUCAGA
This is a long non-coding RNA of Megalopta genalis, 845 nucleotides long. RefSeq lists it as uncharacterized. The record is from RefSeq and is a predicted model, not a curated record. NCBI's taxonomy places the organism in Eukaryota, Metazoa, Arthropoda, Insecta, Hymenoptera, Halictidae.